Acipenser ruthenus (sterlet) is the source of this 1753-nucleotide long non-coding RNA. RefSeq lists it as uncharacterized. The record is from RefSeq and is a predicted model, not a curated record. NCBI's taxonomy places the organism in Eukaryota, Metazoa, Chordata, Actinopteri, Acipenseriformes, Acipenseridae. The transcript has 2 exons.
UAAUGAGGCUUAACAAUGUCCGUGCCCACAGCGGAAACAGUGCGAGACACUCGAUAGCGAAGUCUCAAGCACCAGUCUGUCAGCACCCUGAAGCGGACCGAAUACCUUACUCUAAAAUAAUAAUGACCGGAUGUUAAGCGCCCUACAUCAUCCGCAAAAGAGCACAUGUCCAGCGUGCAUGACAAGCUGUACCAGUCAAACUCGCCAAUGUACGACACCGUGUACCCCGCAGUCCACAGCCAGUAAUAAUGUGCUACUUCAGUUAUCUAUAGAAUGUAAGGAAACACGCAGCCAAACUCGUACUCUGCGCAAUCACUGCCUAAGAAAACCACCUUGAAGAAUGAUUGGUGCAGCACAGCAGCAUCAACCUCAUUCACCGUCCAGACCCGGAGCUCAGAAAGAGCCUGAGACAGACAAAGUGAUCUGACAGAACACCGACUGCGGUUUACAACGAAGAGCCAGCUUCCUCAGCGCGGAAGAACUGGAAUCAGUCAGCAGUCAGAUUCCCGUGGCACCCCAUGAAAGGAGGCUGGUCCAAAUCGAAUAACAUUAGCAAGCACACAGCCAAGCAGAGAGGGAGCUGGCCAACUGAACAUUAUCCCUGGGAUUUCAAUCAUGCAUAGGGUAUGACUGGUAUAGUGUGCUGGGCGUGUCACAUCAUUUGAAAUAAUAAUAUGCUGUGCAACGUGCAGUUAUUUUAAUAAAACAAGUGGAAAUGCAUUUCAGUUAUUAAACAAAAGACAAUUUAAUCUAUUAUUAUUAUUAUUAUUAUUAUUAUUAUUAUUAUUAUUAUUAUUAUUAUUAUUAUUAUUAUUAUUUUUAGUGUAGUAGUAUUUAUAUAUAAAUACUGCUAAGAAAUAAAUAAUAAUAAUAAUAAUAAUAUCUAUCUAUCUAUAUUAAAUGCAUGUAUUGACCUUAGCCAUUAUGUUGCCAGGUUGUGACUGAUCAAGUGAUUAUCAUGACAUUGAAUCCAUUUCAGAGACCUUAAGUACAGUACUAAGUCACCCUGUCAGUACUUAGUGUAUAAACUGUGAUAUAAUAUCAACCCAAGCAAGACCAGUACCCUUUAUACUGCAGUGUAAUUAAUUUUCUUCUGUUUGUAUUUCUCGGAUAUGUUUUGCUUCGGAAGUAUUUUUUCUCUGUUUAUUGAAUGGAAAUGUAAUUUGAAUCUAACAGCGUGCAUUUGUUUUAUUGUGUUGAAUUAAAACAGGUGUGGCUUUCAUGAUUUACAUCACCAUUAGCAGGUUGCUCUAACCCAGUUCCUGACCUGUGAAAUCGCGCCGCAAUAUAAUGUGAAAACGUUUCUGAUUUAUGAAGUAGACGUUCAGUUUUAUCAGUGUCAUCUGACCUCUGGACUGAUGGCAUUUCUCAAAAAUGUAUUUUAUGUUGUUAAACUUUUGAAUUAGCUGCAGUGUAUAAUUAUCUGCAGGGGUUUAUUAAAUGCAUGUGCAAGUUUACCACAGUAAAUUUGCAUGGUCAUUUUGUAGUUUUCACAUGUUUAUAAUUUGCAUUUACCAAACCAUGCCUCUGUGGGAUUUGCAAUGCUUACCUAUGCUUUACCAUGCAUCUACCAUACUUUAUUACACUUUGCUAUGCUUUUACUGUGGGGAGCUUGUCUGAGGGUACUGCAGACAUUUUUCCAAAAGCUUCUAUCUCAAAAAGCACAUGAGAUUUCAUAUUUUCAGUGUUAUUUUCACCAUUAUAAAAGAAAACUGUUCCUGAAUUAAUACGAUCUAAGCCUUUUUAGAAACAA